UCUGGCGUAGCCGGCAGGUGAUUUUGCAUGUCCGGUGGUGGUUCCGGCGAGUCGAGCUGGUUGUUCCCAGCAUGUCCGGCAGGUGGUUCCGGUCUGUCCGGCAGGUGGUUCUGGCGUGUCCGGCACGAGGUUCUGGCACGUCUGAGAGGUGGUUCCGGCAUGCCCGACAGGUGAUUCCGGAGUGUCCGCCACGUGGUUCUGGCGUACCCGGCAGGUGAUUUUGGCGUGUCUGGCAGGUGUUUCUUGCAAGUCGAGCAUGUGGCUCAGGCAUGCUCAGCACGUGCUUCCGGCGUGUCCGGCACGUGGUUCUGGUGUGUCUGAGAGCUGGUUCUGGCAUGUCCGGCAGAUGAUUCCGGAGUGUCCGCCAAGUGGUUCUGGCAUACCUGGCAGGUGAUUUUGGCGUGUCAGGUAGGUGGUUCCGGCGAGUCGAGUAGGUGGUUCCGGCGUGCUCGGCAGGUGGUUCAGGCGGGUCUGGCAGGUGGUUUCGGUAUGUUCGGGAUGUGGUUCCGGCAUCUCAGGCACAUGGUUCUGGCACGUCUGAGAGGUGGUUCUGGACGGCCCGACAGGUGUUUCAAUGGUGUCCGCCAAGUGGUUCUGGCAUAGCUGGCAGGUGAUUUUGCAUGUCCGGCGGUGGUUCCAGUGAGUCGAGACGGUGGUUGCAUCAUGUCCGGCAGGUGGUUCUGGUCUGUCCGGCAGGUGGUUCUGGCGUGUCCGGCACGAGGUUAAGGCACGUCUGAGAGGUGGUUCCGGCAUGCCCGACAGGUGAUUCCGGAGUGUCCGCCACGUGGUUCUGGCGUACCCGGCAGGUGAUUUUGGCGUGUCUGGCAGGUGUUUCUUGCAAGUCGAGCAUGUGGCUCAGGCAUGCUCAGCAGGUGCUUCCGGUGUCAUAGGCACGUGGUUCUGGCAUGUCUGAGAGAUGGUUCCGGCAUGCCUGGCAGGUGAUUCCGGAUUGUUCCCCAAGUGGUUCUGACGUAGCCGGCAGGUGAUUUUGCAUGUCUGGCGGUGGUUCAUGCGGGUCGAGCCGCUUGUUCUCGGCAUGUCCGGCAGGUGGCUGCGGUCUGUCCGGCAGGUGGUUCUGGGGUGUCUGGCACCAGUUCUGGCACGUCUGAGAGUUGGUUCCUGCAUGCCCGGCAGGUGAUUCCGGACUGCGCCCCAGGUGUUUCCCGCAUAGCCAGCUGUUGACUUUGGCGUGUCCAGCAGGUGGUUCCGGAGAGUCGGGCAGGUGGCUACGGUGUGCUUGGCAGGUGGUUCCAGCAUGUCUGGCAGGUGGUUCCGGUCUGUCCGGUAUGUGUUUCCGGCGUGUCUGACACGUCCUUCUGGCAUGUCUGAGAGGUGGUUCCGGCAUGCGCGAGAGAUGAUUCCGGAGUGUCAGCCAGGUGGUUCUGGCGUACCCGGCAGGUGAUUUUGGCGUGUCAGGUAGGUGGUUCCGGCGAGUCAAGCAGGUGGUUCCGGCGUGCUUGGCAGGUGGUUCAGGCGGUUCUGGCAGGCGGUUUCCGUCUGUUUGGGUUGUGGCUCCGGCAUCUCAUGCACAUGGUUCUGGCACGUCUGAGAUGUGGUUCCGGCCGGCCCGACAGGUGUUUGGGCAGUGUCCGCCAAGCAGUUCUGGUGUAGUUGGCAGGUGAUUUUGGCAUGACCGGCAGGUGGUUCCAGCAAGCCCGGCCCGUGAUAACGAAGUGUUCACCAACUGGUUGUGUCGCAGCCGGCAGGUGAUUUUUGCGUGUCUGGCAGGUGGUUCUGGCGAGUCGAGCAGGUGGUUCCAGCGUGCUCGGCAGGUGCUUCCGGGGUCAUUGGCACGUGGUUCUGGCAUGUCUGAGAGGUGGUUCUGGCAUGCCCGGCCGGUGAUUCCGGAGUGUUUGCCAAGUGCUUCUCGCAUAGACUUCAGGUGAUUUUGUAUGUCUGGCAUUGGUUCCGGAGGGUCGAGCCGGUGGUUCCUGCAUGCUCGACCGUUGGAUCUGGCAGGUCCGGCAGGUGGUUCCGGUCUGUCCGGGAGGUGGUUCCGGCGUGUCUGGCAUAUGGUUCCGGCACGUCUGAGAGGUGGUUCUAUCAUGCCCGGCAGGUGAUUCCAGAGAGUCCACCAACUCGUUCUGGCGUAGCCGGCAGGUGAUUUUUGCGUGUCCAGCAUGUGGUUCUGGCGAGUCGAGCAGGUGGUUCCGGCGUGCUCGGCAGGUGCUUCCGGGGUCAUUGGCACAUGGUUCUGGCAUGUGUGAGAGGUGGUUCCGGCAUGCGCGGCAUGUGGUUCCGGCGUGUCUGGCAGGUGCUUCUGGUCUGUCCGGGUGCUGGUUCCGGCAUGGCCGGCACGUGGUUCUGGCACAUCUGUGAGGUGCUUCAGGCGUGCCUGGCAGGUGAUUCCUGGGUGUCUGCCAAGUGGUUCUGGCGUCACCGGCAGGUUAUUUUGGUGUGUCCGGCAGGUCUUUCCUGCUUUUUGCGCUCAUGGCUCUGGCUUGUAAGACAGAUGCUUGUGGCACUUCUGGCCCCCGUUCUUUCAUACUCAGCUGGUUUCAGAGUUUCUGGCUCCUGUUUGUGGCAUAUCCAACAGGUGUUUACAAUGUGUCUGGCAUGUCGUUGUGCUAUGUUUGGAAUCUGGUUCCGUCAUGUCAUUGUGUGCGGCUGGCAUGUUGAAGAGAUGGUUCUGCAGUGUCAGAAUCACUGUUCCACUGUGUCCGGCAGGUGGUUACAGGUGGUUCUGGCAUGCAACGUGCGUGCUUCUGGUAUGCCUGUUGGGUCAUACUGGCAUGAAUGUGUGGCCCUUUGAGAGUGUGCAGAGGGUGUUUUUGGCAUGUCUCCCGGGGUUUUCUGGCACAUAAGGGGCAUGAUUCCUUUUUAUACGUCAGGUGAGUUUGCUCUCAGCUUCCUAAAGAGAAGGAAGGAAGAUGGUCUGUGGCUUGUGGCCCCUUGAGGGGUGGGGCCAAUGCAUUGUGCAUUGCAAUCUAGAGCAAUGGAGGGUAUGGCUGAGAGCAAAAGGGUCUUUCUGACAUAGCUGCAUUCUGACACUCUCUCCACCAGUGCACAAUGGUGUUUGGAAAAAGGCUUACAGUCUGUCGCCUCCUGAGCAGGUGGAUGCUAAAUCAUUUGGGACUCAGCCCAGUUGCUUCAGGGGAAGAUGUAGGCAUUUCGUCUGAGCAAGGUUGGCAAGGUAGAACUGCGGCAGAAGCAGAAGUCCUAAAGCGGCGAGUUAAGCGCUGGGAAGAAAUGGCAUUUGAGCUGACUUUGUAUGAGAGAUUCCUCGUAUGUUGUACAACACUGUGGAAAGCGAGUUCUUUCUCAGCUUCCUAAAGAGCUGGAGGCAAGACAGUUUAUGGCUUCUCUCUCAUUGAAGGAUUGAGGCAGUGCUUUGUGCCUUCCACCUGCAGAGCAAUGGAGGGCACGGCUGAGAGCAAAGGGGGCUUUCUGCCAUUGGUGCUUUCUGAUACCCUUCAGGGGUGGUGCCAGUGCCUUGUGCCUCCUACCUCUAGAGGAAUGGAGGGCAAGACCAAGAGUAAAGGGACUUUCUGAAAUUGGUGGUUUCUGACACUGCCCCAACCAUUGCUCAAGGGCGGUUGGUUAAAAGCCUAUUGUCUGUCUCCUCCUCAGCAUGUGGAACCACAAUCAUCCGGGCCUCGUCCCCAUUGCUCAAGGGGAAGAUGUAGGCAUUUCGUCUGAGCCGGGUUGGCAAGGUGGAAAUGCGGCAGAAGCGGAUGUUGCAGAUUGGCGAGUUAAGGGCUGAAAAGACACGGCAUUCAGCUGCCUUGCUAUGAGAUGUUCCCAGGACGCUGUAAGAGCACUGUGGAAUGCGAGUGCUUUCCCAGCUUCCUAAAGAGCUGGAAGCAGGACAGUUGAUGGCUUGUCUGCAAUUGAAGGAUGGAGGCAGUGCUUUGUGCCUUCCACCUCUAGAGCAAUGGAGGGCACGGCUGAGAGCAAAGGGACCUUUCUGACAUUGGUGCUUUCUGGCACUCCCCCAACCAUUGCUCAAGGGCGGUUGGUUAAAAGCCUAUUGUCUCUCUCCUACUAAGCAGGUGCAAAAACAAUCAUUCGGGCCUCGUCCCCAUUGCUUAAGGGGAAGUUGUAGGCAUUUCGUCUGAGCCGGGUUGACAAGGUGGAAUUGCGGCAGAAGCAGAAGUCCUAAAGCUGCAAGUUAAGCACUGGGAAGAAAUGGCGUUUGAGCUGCCUUUGUAUGAGAGGUUCCUGGUAUGCUGUAAGGGGACUGUGGAAAGCGAGUUGUUCGUCAGCUUCCUAAAGAGCUGGAGGCAAGACAGUUUAUGGCUUGUUUCGCAUUGAAGGAUUGAGGCAGUCCUUUGUGCCU
This is a long non-coding RNA of Equus caballus (horse), 4279 nucleotides long. Lineage: Eukaryota; Metazoa; Chordata; Mammalia; Perissodactyla; Equidae. The record is from Ensembl.